CACCGGUGGCGAAAGCGGCUCUCUGGUCUGUAACUGACGCUGAGGCUCGAAAGCGUGGGGAGCGAACAGGAUUAGAUACCNUGGUAGUCACGCCGUAAACGAUGAGUGCUAGGUGUUAGGUCCUUUCCGGGACUUAGUGCCGCAGCUAACGCAUUAAGCANUCCGCCUGGGGAGUACGACCGCAAGGUUGAAACUCAAAGGAAUUGACGGGGGCCCGCACAAGCGGUGGAGCAUGUGGUUUAAUUCGAAGCAACGCGAAGAACCUUACCAGGUCUUGACAUCCCGAUGCCCGCUCUAGAGAUAGAGCUUUACUUCGGUACAUCGGUGACAGGUGGUGCAUGGUUGUCGUCAGCUCGUGUCGUGAGAUGUUGGNNNNNNNNNNNCAACGAGCGCAACCCUUAUUGUUAGUUGCCAUCAUUCAGUUGGGCACUCUAGCGAGACUGCCGGUAAUAAACCGGAGGAAGGUGGGGAUGACGUCAAAUCAUCAUGCCCCUUAUGACCUGGGCUACACACGUGCUACAAUGGCUGGUACAACGAGUCGCAAGCCGGUGACGGCAAGCUAAUCUCUGAGAGCCAGUCUCAGUUCGGAUUGUAGGCUGCAACUCGCCUACAUGAAGUCGGAAUCGCUAGUAAUCGCGGAUCAGCACGCCGCGGUGAAUACGUUCCCGGGC
This 671-nucleotide ribosomal RNA is filed under the name uncultured bacterium. Its description in RNAcentral is "bacterial SSU rRNA". It matches the Rfam family "Bacterial small subunit ribosomal RNA", at positions 707 to 1379 of the family's 1533-position model. The record is from RNAcentral.